GCAAGAACAACAAAUUGCGGUAUCGCGAGUUACUGUGUGUGGGGGUGAGAGAGAUGAUGGAGAUGAGAGAGAAACAUUAGAUAAGUGAGAAGGUAGAUUAUGUUUAUGUGAGUGUUUUUGAUUUUUUUUUUCAAUCGGGACUAUUGUAGGGAUGAGAGAGAGAAUGUUAGAGUUAGUGAGAUAAAAGAGAAAUGAUUGAAAUGAAUGAAGGAUGAGAGACAGAGGUGAGUAAGGAUUUGAGAGUUUCUUAUUUUUUUAGUUUUGAGAAUGAAAAUUAUUCAAAUACUCUUGACCUUAAAAUUUAAAAUUCAUAAUAUAUGAGGGUAUUUUUGUCUACUGAAUACAUUUUGCUAAAAUAUACCCAAAAAAAGACUUACUUAUAUUAGCAAGAAUAUCAACGUGGAUUAAUAUGCCAUCCUAUCUCUAGUAAUU
RNAcentral lists this long non-coding RNA (432 nucleotides) under Vigna radiata. Its description in RNAcentral is "long non-coding RNA (VRAD_LNC017305)". Lineage: Eukaryota; Viridiplantae; Streptophyta; Magnoliopsida; Fabales; Fabaceae. The record is from RNAcentral.